Molecule: long non-coding RNA, 1486 nt
Filed under: Gallus gallus (chicken)
Lineage: Eukaryota; Metazoa; Chordata; Aves; Galliformes; Phasianidae
Description: lncRNA (ENSGALG00010007379.1)
Source: RNAcentral
GCAAAGAGUUUAUUCUGUAGUAUCUAGUAACACACUCCAGAGCAAUCCCCCAACUCCAGCCUAACAGCACCCAUCAUGUGCAGGAGGGAGAAAGAGAAAGGGAAAGGAAGCCUCACUCUGGAAAUCUCAAGUUUGAAACUGGAGAAUCAUAGAGGCUUUUAGAUUCUGUGGACGGAUGGCUGACCCAGGGAGGCCGUGUUUAUCUCCUCCUGGGUCACUGCAAGCAAAACAGCUGCUAUGGAUCACUGUCUCACACAGAACAAUGAUGCGAGUAGGCGAAAGGAAUGCGGAGCUGCGAUAGAGACCACUGUGCCAGGUGCUGUGAGACAAGCUGCAAGCAACUGCAAGUUAUGAGAACGGUGCCUUGUUGUGCUUAGCAUUUAUUUGUACCGCUCUAUAUAAAUGGCUGUGUGCAGUCAUUAAAUGGCUUGGCUGCUAGAAACCAUAUGAGUGUGUGGCCUCGUCCCUCGCCUCAUCUCAGCUGAUUAUUGCUCUCCAGGGGAUCUCGGACUUGUUGUUUGUCAACAAGAUUCUUCAGGAAUUGUGAAAAUUUCUGGAAAUGAAGAUUUCUUUGAAGGAUUUUUAUCUUAAAAUGGAACAAGGCUGUUUUCACUUAAAGUUACAGCUUUAAAAUUUUGAAGUAAGUCUAAGUGCAUGCAAGCUCAUUUGUUAGACUGGAUGCAACACUGUCAUUAUAUUCAUAAGGUGCCAAAGCACUGAAACAAGUUGCCCAGAGAGUCUGUGGAGUGUUCUUCCCCGGAGAUAUUCAAGAUCUGUUUGGACAUAACCCUGGGUUAGGUGCUCUCUGUGGCCCUGCUUGAGCAUCUGGGGUUGGACCAAAUGAUCUCCAGAGGUCCCUUUCAACCUCAGCCAUUCUGUGAUUCUGUGACUAGAUCAAUAUUUCAUUCUCGAAUUAAUACUCUUUUCUUAGAUAUGCUAUUAUUGUAUUUCUUUACUUUCUAUUCACUUAUACUCUGUUACAAGAUUUAGGCUCUGAUAAAUAGUUUUAUAGCUCUGUUAUUAUGCAAACCAUUUUGAGGUCAUUCGAAGGUAUUUUAUGGGAAAAUUUUGAGAUGUAGUUUAAUCUUUUAAUUUUCAUCAUGUAAAUGCUUAUUCCUACAACAAAGCUUCAUUAUAUCUUUAUAUUUCCCACAUCUUUCAUAACUGUACAUAAAUUCCAAAAAUUAGAGUACAGCUAUAUGAAAUAAGUAAGCUUCUGUGAUGCCUGCUAUUAAAGAAGAACAAGUUUUAAAACUGAACACUUUUGUGUCUCUGAAAUUUAGCUAUCUCAUUCCUUUAAGUCAUUUAUUGUAGAAUACAUUAGAUUGCUUCUUAGGACAUUUGACAGUGCUAAAAUAUUAGCUCAUUUUUGCAGUGCAAAAGUCAACAAACUAUUUCUGUGCAAGUAUGUAAGUCAUCUGUGUUAUUACCAUGUGUUUCAUUUUUAUUAUGAUUGAUGUCAUUGCAAUAAAUACAUGAGCAACCC